RNAcentral lists this ribosomal RNA (244 nucleotides) under uncultured bacterium. RNAcentral describes it as "partial small subunit ribosomal RNA". It matches the Rfam family "Bacterial small subunit ribosomal RNA", at positions 26 to 285 of the family's 1533-position model. The record is from RNAcentral.
AGAAUCAACGCUGGCGGCGUGCCUAACACAUGCAAGUCGCACGAGAAAGGGUAGCAAUACAUGAGUAAAGUGGCGCACGGGUGAGUAACACGUGACUAACCUACCCUGGAGUGGGGGAUAACUGAGGGAAACCUUAGCUAAUACCGCAUAACACCUACGGGUCAAAGGAGCAAUUCGCUUCAGGAGGGGUCGCGGCAGAUUAGCUAGUUGGCGGGGUAAUGGCCCACCAAGGCAGUGAUCUGUA